AUCCAGCUGACGAGUCCCAAAUAGGAUGAGACGUGCGUCCUGGAU
Molecule: non-coding RNA, 45 nt
Organism: Schistosoma margrebowiei
Lineage: Eukaryota; Metazoa; Platyhelminthes; Trematoda; Strigeidida; Schistosomatidae
Source: Rfam